RNAcentral lists this ribosomal RNA (499 nucleotides) under uncultured bacterium. Its description in RNAcentral is "partial 16S ribosomal RNA". It matches the Rfam family "Bacterial small subunit ribosomal RNA", at positions 899 to 1397 of the family's 1533-position model. The record is from RNAcentral.
ACUCAAAGGAAUAGACGGGGGCCCGCACAAGCGGUGGAGCAUGUGGUUUAAUUCGAUGCAACGCGAAGAACCUUACCUACUUUUGACAUCUGGGGAAGUUUUCUGAGAGGGAGACGUGCCGCGAGGAGCCCCAAGACAGGUGCUGCAUGGUUGUCGUCAGCUCGUGUCGUGAGAUGUUGGGUUAAGUCCCAUAACGAGCGCAACCCUUGUGUUCAGUUGCCAGCACGGUUGGGUGGGCACUUUGGACAGACUGCCAGCGUUAAGCUGGAGGAAGGUGGGGAUGAUGUCAAAUCAUCAUGGCCUUUAUAAGUAGGGCUACACACGUGCUACAAUGGUGCGUACAAUAGGAAGCGAAGCCGUGAGGGGGAGCCAAUCCUGUAAAGCGCAUCGUAGUCCGGAUUGAAGUCUGCAACUCGACUUCAUGAAGCUGGAAUCGCUAGUAAUCGCAAAUGAGCAUGUUGCGGUGAAUACGUUCUCGGGCCUUGCACACACCGCCCGU